AUGAACGCUGGCGGCGUGCCUAAUACAUGCAAGUCGAGCGAACAGACGAGGAGCUUGCUCCUCUGACGUUAGCGGCGGACGGGUGAGUAACACGUGGAUAACCUACCUAUAAGACUGGGAUAACUUCGGGAAACCGGAGCUAAUACCGGAUAAUAUAUUGAACCGCAUGGUUCAAUAGUGAAAGACGGUUUUGCUGUCACUUAUAGAUGGAUCCGCGCCGCAUUAGCUAGUUGGUAAGGUAACGGCUUAUCAAGGCAACGAUGCGUAGCCGACCUGAGAGGGUGAUCGGCCACACUGGAACUGAGACACGGUCCAGACUCCUACGGGAGGCAGCAGUAGGGAAUCUUCCGCAAUGGGCGAAAGCCUGACGGAGCAACGCCGCGUGAGUGAUGAAGGUCUUCGGGUCGUAAAACUCUGUUAUUAGGGAAGAACAAAUGUGUAAGUAACUAUGCACGUCUUGACGGUACCUAAUCAGAAAGCCACGGCUAACUACGUG
Molecule: ribosomal RNA, 496 nt
Filed under: uncultured bacterium
Lineage: Bacteria
Description: partial 16S ribosomal RNA
Rfam family: Bacterial small subunit ribosomal RNA
Source: RNAcentral